CAAUAAGCGGAGGAAAAGAAACCAACAGGGAUUGCCUCAGUAACGGCGAGUGAAGCGGCAAGAGCUCAAAUUUGAAAUCUGGCCUCCUUUGGGGGUCCGAGUUGUAAUUUGUAGAGGAUGCUUCGGGUGUGGCCGCCGUCUAAGUUCCUUGGAACAGGACGUCAGAGAGGGUGAGAAUCCCGUCUUGGACGGCCGGUCCGCGCCCGUGUGAAGCUCCUUCGACGAGUCGAGUUGUUUGGGAAUGCAGCUCUAAGCGGGUGGUAAAUUUCAUCUAAAGCUAAAUAUUGGCCGGAGACCGAUAGCGCACAAGUAGAGUGAUCGAAAGGUUAAAAGCACCUUGAAAAGGGAGUUAAACAGCACGUGAAAUUGUUGAAAGGGAAGCGCUUGCGGCCAGACUCGGGGGCGGGGUUCAGCGGGCGCUCGUCGCCCGUGCACUCCCCGUUCCCCGGGCCAGCAUCAGUUUCGACGGCCGGUCAAAGGCCCCCGGAAUGUGUCGUCUCUCGGGACGUCUUAUAGCCGGGGGUGCAAUGCGGCCCGCCGGGACUGAGGAACGCGCUUCGGCUCGGAUGCUGGCGUAAUGGCCGUAAGCGGCCCGUCUUGAAACAC
RNAcentral lists this ribosomal RNA (606 nucleotides) under Paraphyton cookei. RNAcentral's name for it is "eukaryotic LSU rRNA". It matches the Rfam family "Eukaryotic large subunit ribosomal RNA", at positions 44 to 662 of the family's 3401-position model. Lineage: Eukaryota; Fungi; Ascomycota; Eurotiomycetes; Onygenales; Arthrodermataceae. The record is from RNAcentral.